Molecule: ribosomal RNA, 2902 nt
Filed under: Escherichia coli 2-177-06_S1_C2
Lineage: Bacteria; Pseudomonadati; Pseudomonadota; Gammaproteobacteria; Enterobacterales; Enterobacteriaceae
Description: bacterial LSU rRNA
Rfam family: Bacterial large subunit ribosomal RNA
Source: RNAcentral
UUAAGCGACUAAGCGUACACGGUGGAUGCCCUGGCAGUCAGAGGCGAUGAAGGACGUGCUAAUCUGCGAUAAGCGUCGGUAAGGUGAUAUGAACCGUUAUAACCGGCGAUUUCCGAAUGGGGAAACCCAGUGUGAUUCGUCACACUAUCAUUAACUGAAUCCAUAGGUUAAUGAGGCGAACCGGGGGAACUGAAACAUCUAAGUACCCCGAGGAAAAGAAAUCAACCGAGAUUCCCCCAGUAGCGGCGAGCGAACGGGGAGCAGCCCAGAGCCUGAAUCAGUGUGUGUGUUAGUGGAAGCGUCUGGAAAGGCGCGCGAUACAGGGUGACAGCCCCGUACACAAAAAUGCACAUGCUGUGAGCUCGAUGAGUAGGGCGGGACACGUGGUAUCCUGUCUGAAUAUGGGGGGACCAUCCUCCAAGGCUAAAUACUCCUGACUGACCGAUAGUGAACCAGUACCGUGAGGGAAAGGCGAAAAGAACCCCGGCGAGGGGAGUGAAAAAGAACCUGAAACCGUGUACGUACAAGCAGUGGGAGCACGCUUAGGCGUGUGACUGCGUACCUUUUGUAUAAUGGGUCAGCGACUUAUAUUCUGUAGCAAGGUUAACCGAAUAGGGGAGCCGAAGGGAAACCGAGUCUUAACUGGGCGUUAAGUUGCAGGGUAUAGACCCGAAACCCGGUGAUCUAGCCAUGGGCAGGUUGAAGGUUGGGUAACACUAACUGGAGGACCGAACCGACUAAUGUUGAAAAAUUAGCGGAUGACUUGUGGCUGGGGGUGAAAGGCCAAUCAAACCGGGAGAUAGCUGGUUCUCCCCGAAAGCUAUUUAGGUAGCGCCUCGUGAACUCAUCUCCGGGGGUAGAGCACUGUUUCGGCAAGGGGGUCAUCCCGACUUACCAACCCGAUGCAAACUGCGAAUACCGGAGAAUGUUAUCACGGGAGACACACGGCGGGUGCUAACGUCCGUCGUGAAGAGGGAAACAACCCAGACCGCCAGCUAAGGUCCCAAAGUCAUGGUUAAGUGGGAAACGAUGUGGGAAGGCCCAGACAGCCAGGAUGUUGGCUUAGAAGCAGCCAUCAUUUAAAGAAAGCGUAAUAGCUCACUGGUCGAGUCGGCCUGCGCGGAAGAUGUAACGGGGCUAAACCAUGCACCGAAGCUGCGGCAGCGACGCUGAUGCGUUGUUGGGUAGGGGAGCGUUCUGUAAGCCUGUGAAGGUGUGCUGUGAGGCAUGCUGGAGGUAUCAGAAGUGCGAAUGCUGACAUAAGUAACGAUAAAGCGGGUGAAAAGCCCGCUCGCCGGAAGACCAAGGGUUCCUGUCCAACGUUAAUCGGGGCAGGGUGAGUCGACCCCUAAGGCGAGGCCGAAAGGCGUAGUCGAUGGGAAACAGGUUAAUAUUCCUGUACUUGGUGUUACUGCGAAGGGGGGACGGAGAAGGCUAUGUUGGCCGGGCGACGGUUGUCCCGGUUUAAGCGUGUAGGCUGGUUUUCCAGGCAAAUCCGGAAAAUCAAGGCUGAGGCGUGAUGACGAGGCACUACGGUGCUGAAGCAACAAAUGCCCUGCUUCCAGGAAAAGCCUCUAAGCAUCAGGUAACAUCAAAUCGUACCCCAAACCGACACAGGUGGUCAGGUAGAGAAUACCAAGGCGCUUGAGAGAACUCGGGUGAAGGAACUAGGCAAAAUGGUGCCGUAACUUCGGGAGAAGGCACGCUGAUAUGUAGGUGAAGUCCCUCGCGGAUGGAGCUGAAAUCAGUCGAAGAUACCAGCUGGCUGCAACUGUUUAUUAAAAACACAGCACUGUGCAAACACGAAAGUGGACGUAUACGGUGUGACGCCUGCCCGGUGCCGGAAGGUUAAUUGAUGGGGUCAGCGCAAGCGAAGCUCUUGAUCGAAGCCCCGGUAAACGGCGGCCGUAACUAUAACGGUCCUAAGGUAGCGAAAUUCCUUGUCGGGUAAGUUCCGACCUGCACGAAUGGCGUAAUGAUGGCCAGGCUGUCUCCACCCGAGACUCAGUGAAAUUGAACUCGCUGUGAAGAUGCAGUGUACCCGCGGCAAGACGGAAAGACCCCGUGAACCUUUACUAUAGCUUGACACUGAACAUUGAGCCUUGAUGUGUAGGAUAGGUGGGAGGCUUAGAAGUGUGGACGCCAGUCUGCAUGGAGCCGACCUUGAAAUACCACCCUUUAAUGUUUGAUGUUCUAACGUUGACCCGUAAUCCGGGUUGCGGACAGUGUCUGGUGGGUAGUUUGACUGGGGCGGUCUCCUCCUAAAGAGUAACGGAGGAGCACGAAGGUUGGCUAAUCCUGGUCGGACAUCAGGAGGUUAGUGCAAUGGCAUAAGCCAGCUUGACUGCGAGCGUGACGGCGCGAGCAGGUGCGAAAGCAGGUCAUAGUGAUCCGGUGGUUCUGAAUGGAAGGGCCAUCGCUCAACGGAUAAAAGGUACUCCGGGGAUAACAGGCUGAUACCGCCCAAGAGUUCAUAUCGACGGCGGUGUUUGGCACCUCGAUGUCGGCUCAUCACAUCCUGGGGCUGAAGUAGGUCCCAAGGGUAUGGCUGUUCGCCAUUUAAAGUGGUACGCGAGCUGGGUUUAGAACGUCGUGAGACAGUUCGGUCCCUAUCUGCCGUGGGCGCUGGAGAACUGAGGGGGGCUGCUCCUAGUACGAGAGGACCGGAGUGGACGCAUCACUGGUGUUCGGGUUGUCAUGCCAAUGGCACUGCCCGGUAGCUAAAUGCGGAAGAGAUAAGUGCUGAAAGCAUCUAAGCACGAAACUUGCCCCGAGAUGAGUUCUCCCUGACUCCUUGAGAGUCCUGAAGGAACGUUGAAGACGACGACGUUGAUAGGCCGGGUGUGUAAGCGCAGCGAUGCGUUGAGCUAACCGGUACUAAUGAACCGUGAGGCUUAACCUU